AGAGUUUGAUCAUGGCUCAGGACGAACGCUGAGCGGCGUGCCUAAUACAUGCAAGUAGAACGCUGAAGAGAGGAGCUUGCUCUUCUUGGAUGAGUUGCGAACGGGUGAGUAACGCGUAGGUAACCUGCCUUGUAGCGGGGGAUAACUAUUGGAAACGAUAGCUAAUACCGCAUAACAAUAGGUGACACAUGUCAUUUAUUUGAAAGGGGCAAUUGCUCCACUACAAGAUGGACCUGCGUUGUAUUAGCUAGUAGGUGAGGUAACGGCUCACCUAGGCGACGAUACAUAGCCGACCUGAGAGGGUGAUCGGCCACACUGGGACUGAGACACGGCCCAGACUCCUACGGGAGGCAGCAGUAGGGAAUCUUCGGCAAUGGGGGCAACCCUGACCGAGCAACGCCGCGUGAGUGAAGAAGGUUUUCGGAUCGUAAAGCUCUGUUGUAAGUCAAGAACGAGUGUGAGAGUGGAAAGUUCACACUGUGACGGUAGCUUACCAGAAAGGGACGGCUAACUACGUGCCAGCAGCCGCGGUAAUACGUAGGUCCCGAGCGUUGUCCGGAUUUAUUGGGCGUAAAGCGAGCGCAGGCGGUUUGAUAAGUCUGAAGUUAAAGGCUGUGGCUCAACCAUAGUUCGCUUUGGAAACUGUCAAACUUGAGUGCAGAAGGGGAGAGUGGAAUUCCAUGUGUAGCGGUGAAAUGCGUAGAUAUAUGGAGGAACACCGGUGGCGAAAGCGGCUCUCUGGUCUGUAACUGACGCUGAGGCUCGAAAGCGUGGGGAGCGAACAGGAUUAGAUACCCUGGUAGUCCACGCCGUAAACGAUGAGUGCUAGGUGUUGGAUCCUUUCCGGGAUUCAGUGCCGCAGCUAACGCAUUAAGCACUCCGCCUGGGGAGUACGACCGCAAGGUUGAAACUCAAAGGAGUUGACGGGGGCCCGCACAAGCGGUGGAGCAUGUGGUUUAAUUCGAAGCAACGCGAAGAACCUUACCAGGUCUUGACAUCCCGAUGCUAUUUCUAGAGAUAGAAAGUUACUUCGGUACAUCGGUGACAGGUGGUGCAUGGUUGUCGUCAGCUCGUGUCGUGAGAUGUUGGGUUAAGUCCCGCAACGAGCGCAACCCCUAUUGUUAGUUGCCAUCAUUCAGUUGGGCACUCUAGCGAGACUGCCGGUAAUAAACCGGAGGAAGGUGGGGAUGACGUCAAAUCAUCAUGCCCCUUAUGACCUGGGCUACACACGUGCUACAAUGGUUGGUACAACGAGUUGCGAGUCGGUGACGGCAAGCUAAUCUCUUAAAGCCAAUCUCAGUUCGGAUUGUAGGCUGCAACUCGCCUACAUGAAGUCGGAAUCGCUAGUAAUCGCGGAUCAGCACGCCGCGGUGAAUACGUUCCCGGGCCUUGCACACACCGCCCGUCA
This 1408-nucleotide ribosomal RNA is filed under the name uncultured bacterium. Its description in RNAcentral is "16S ribosomal RNA". It matches the Rfam family "Bacterial small subunit ribosomal RNA". The record is from RNAcentral.